GUACCCGCUGAACUUAAGCAUAUCAAUAAGCGGAGGAAAAGAAACCAACAGGGAUUGCCUCAGUAACGGCGAGUGAAGCGGCAACAGCUCAAAUUUGAAAUCUGGCCCCUUCGGGGUCCGAGUUGUAAUUUGUAGAGAGUGCUUCGGGUGAGACUGCGGUCUAAGUCCAUUGGAACAUGGCGUCAUAGAGGGUGAGAAUCCCGUAUGUGACCGUGGCUCGAGCCCAUGUGAAGCCUCUUCGACGAGUCGAGUUGUUUGGGAAUGCAGCUCAAAAUGGGUGGUAUAUUUCAUCUAAAGCUAAAUACUGGCUGGAGACCGAUAGCGCACAAGUAGAGUGAUCGAAAGAUGAAAAGCACUUUGGAAAGAGAGUCAAACAGUACGUGAAAUUGUUGAAAGGGAAGCGCUUGCAACCAGACCCGCCCGUAGGCGAUCAGCCGCUGUUCUCAGUGGUGCACUCGCUCUGCGAUCAGGCCAGCAUCGGUUCUGGCGGCCGGAUAAAGGCCUUGGGAAUGUAGCUCCCUCCGGGGAGUCUUAUAGCCCUCGGUGCAAUGCGGCCAGCCGGGACCGAGGACCGCGCUUCGGCUAGGAUGCUGGCGUAAUGGUUGUAAGCGACCCGUCUUAAACACGGACCAAGGAGUCUAACAUCUAUGCGAGUGUUUGGGUGUCAAACCCAUGCGCGGAAUGAAAGUGAACGGAGGUGAGACCCCUUAAGGGCGCAUCAUCGACCGAUCCAGAUGUCUUCGGAUGGAUUUGAGUAUGAGCAUAGCUAUUGGGACCCGAAAGAUGAUGAACUAUGCCUGAAUAGGGUGAAGCCAGAGGAAACUCUGGUGGAGGCUCGCAGCGGUUCUGACGUGCAAAUCGAUCGUCAAAUUUGGGUAUAGGGGCGAAAGACUAAUCGAAUCAUCUAGUAGCUGGUUCCUGCCGAAGUUUCCCUCAGGAUAGCAGUAACGUUUUCAGUUUUAUGAGGUAAAGCGAAUGAUUAGAGGCCUUGGGGUUGAAACAACAUUAACCUAUUCUCAAACUUUAAAUAUGUAAGAAGUCCUUGUUACUUAGUUGAACGUGGACAUUUGAAUGCACCGUUACUAGUGGGCCAUUUUUGGUAAGCAGAACUGGCGAUGCGGGAUGAACCGAACGCGAGGUUAAGGUGCCGGAAUGUACGCUCAUCAGACACCACAAAAGGUGUUGAUUCAUCUAGACAGCCGGACGGUGGCCAUGGAAGUCGGAAACCGCUAAGGAGUGUGUAGAUGUUGCAUACGACAGCCGAGUUUGCUAGCGGCGCCCCCUCAUACCGGGGGCGCCUGUGACAGCUCUAGAAUGCCUGAAUUCACCCCUUGGGGUGUAACUGGCAGUGGGGCGCCGCCCCCAUCCACAGACUAAACAGAGCUGACCCGGAAGUCCCAUCUCCGGGUUAAGAUAUAGUCGAUCCGGGCCCUGAGAGGGUGCCCGAGCGAGAGAACAACUCACCGGCCGAAUGAAUCAGCCCUGAAAAUGGAUGGCGCUCAAGCGUGCUACCCAUACCUCGCCGGCAGGGUAGAAACGAUGCCCUGGCGAGUAGGCAGGCGUGGGGGUCAGUGACGAAGCCUUGGGAGUGAUCCCGGGUCGAACGGCCCCUAGUGCAGAUCUUGGUGGUAGUA
This 1634-nucleotide ribosomal RNA is filed under the name Melanelia stygia. Its description in RNAcentral is "eukaryotic LSU rRNA". It matches the Rfam family "Eukaryotic large subunit ribosomal RNA", at positions 22 to 1462 of the family's 3401-position model. Lineage: Eukaryota; Fungi; Ascomycota; Lecanoromycetes; Lecanorales; Parmeliaceae. The record is from RNAcentral.